RNAcentral lists this ribosomal RNA (339 nucleotides) under uncultured bacterium. RNAcentral's name for it is "bacterial SSU rRNA". It matches the Rfam family "Bacterial small subunit ribosomal RNA", at positions 22 to 356 of the family's 1533-position model. The record is from RNAcentral.
GCUCAGGACGAACGCUGGCGGCGCGCCUAACACAUGCAAGUCGAACGGAGCUUAAAGAGCUUGCUUUUUAAGCUUAGUGGCGAACGGGUGAGUAACGCGUGAGUAACCUGCCCUGGAGUGGGGGACAACAGUUGGAAACGACUGCUAAUACCGCAUAAGCCCACGGCCCGGCAUCGGGCUGCGGGAAAAGGAUUUAUUCGCUUCAGGAUGGACUCGCGUCCAAUUAGCUAGUUGGUGAGGUAACGGCCCACCAAGGCGACGAUUGGUAGCCGGACUGAGAGGUUGAACGGCCACAUUGGGACUGAGACACGGCCCAGACUCCUACGGGAGGCAGCAGUA